RNAcentral lists this ribosomal RNA (253 nucleotides) under uncultured bacterium. RNAcentral describes it as "partial 16S ribosomal RNA". It matches the Rfam family "Bacterial small subunit ribosomal RNA", at positions 524 to 776 of the family's 1533-position model. The record is from RNAcentral.
GACGAACCGUGCGAACGUUGUUCGGAAUCACUGGGCUUAAAGGGCGCGUAGGCGGAUCAUCAAGUCCGGGGUGAAAUCUUUCGGCUUAACCGGAAAAGUGCCUUGGAUACUGGUGGUCUCGAGUGAGGUAGGGGCAUGUGGAACUUCUGGUGGAGCGGUGAAAUGCGUUGAUAUCAGAAGGAACUCCGGUGGCGAAAGCGACGUGCUGGACCUCUUCUGACGCUGAGGCGCGAAAGCUAGGGGAGCAAACGGG